AAAAUAUUUUAAAGCAGUAAAUGCAGUCAGUACAGAGAGAUCCCUGGGAGCCUUUCUAUUCAAAAAUGUGUGAGCUCAGGGCAGCGACUGCAAUGUAAUUUAGGGCAGUGUAUGCUUCAUAGCUUUGGAGAAUAUUGCUUCCCACUAAUGUUCCAUCAGAGGAUGGUAGGAUAGUAGUAAUUUUAGAAGGUGGUAUUCCUGUUUGUCUUACAUCGAAAACUUCAGAAUAAAUAAAAGGACAUAUCAACUGAGCAAGAAAUGUAACUAUGGAAAAGUACCAAUGAAUCUAAAUUUGAACUGAACAGAUACAAAAUCAGCAUGGGUGUAGGAAUAUUUUUAAGGAGGAAGCUACAGCAAAAGCGACUUCCCAGGGAAUGGACCUCACAGAUGCCAAGGCAUCCUACAAGAUGUUUUGUGUUUCUUCUGUUAAUUUAAAAAAAAAGAAGAAGAAGAAGAAGAAAGCCAGAUGUGGUGGAGGCUUUUUAAUCAGUCUGCAGUGUGAAGACAUACUUCAAGAGGAUCCUUAG
RNAcentral lists this long non-coding RNA (527 nucleotides) under Ursus maritimus (polar bear). RNAcentral describes it as "lncRNA (ENSUMAG00000003101.1)". The record is from RNAcentral. Lineage: Eukaryota; Metazoa; Chordata; Mammalia; Carnivora; Ursidae.